Molecule: ribosomal RNA, 435 nt
Filed under: uncultured Lachnospiraceae bacterium
Lineage: Bacteria; Bacillati; Bacillota; Clostridia; Lachnospirales; Lachnospiraceae
Description: partial 16S ribosomal RNA
Rfam family: Bacterial small subunit ribosomal RNA
Source: RNAcentral
ACGGAAGGCAGCAGUGGGGAAUAUUGCACAAUGGGCGAAAGCCUGAUGCAGCGACGCCGCGUGAGUGAAGAAGUAUUUCGGUAUGUAAAGCUCUAUCAGCAGGGAAGAAAAAUGACGGUACCUGACUAAGAAGCACCGGCUAAAUACGUGCCAGCAGCCGCGGUAAUACGUAUGGUGCAAGCGUUAUCCGGAUUUACUGGGUGUAAAGGGAGCGCAGGCGGUACGGCAAGUCUGAUGUGAAAGCCCGGGGCUCAACCCCGGUACUGCAUUGGAAACUGUCGAACUAGAGUGUCGAAGGGGUAAGCGGAAUUCCUAGUGUAGCGGUGAAAUGCGUAGAUAUUAGGAGGAACACCAGUGGCGAAGGCGGCUUACUGGACGAUAACUGACGCUGAGGCUCGAAAGCGUGGGGAGCAAACAGGAUUAGAUACCCUGGUA